Non-coding RNA from Chiloscyllium plagiosum (whitespotted bambooshark), 192 nucleotides. The record is from RefSeq and is a predicted model, not a curated record. Lineage: Eukaryota; Metazoa; Chordata; Chondrichthyes; Orectolobiformes; Hemiscylliidae.
GUUUAGAUACAAUCUAUUGAUAACUAUUAGAACUGACUUGCACUGGCUCCGUCAAAGUGGUCAGAGCAUUAUGGCUGUCAUCGAAGCUGCCAACAAACUUCCCAUGGGUUAAAAAUCAUAAAUGAUAGAGUAGCUACGAGGUCUGAUGGCACUGUUGGAGUAUUGAUGUUGUUAAUCACAUUAACUUGGCUG